UUGGAGGGCAAGUCUGGUGCCAGCAGCCGCGGUAAUUCCAGCUCCAAUAGCGUAUAUUAAAGUUGUUGCAGUUAAAAAGCUCGUAGUUGAAUUUCGGGAUUGACGUGGUGGUCAUGCCUUAAGGGGUAUGAACUGUCACUGUUGAUUUCUCACCUUCUGGAGAAACUUGAUGUCCUUUAUUGGGUGUCUUGCGGAUCCAGGACCUUUACCUUGAGAAAAUUAGAGUGUUUAAAGCAGGCAUUUUUGCUCGAAUACAUUAGCAUGGAAUAAUAGAAUAGGACGGCAUGGUUCUAUUUUGUUGGUUUCUAGGAUCACCGUAAUGAUUAAUAGGGAUAGUUGGGGGCAUUAGUAUUCAAUUGUCAGAGGUGAAAUUCUUGGAUUUAUUGAAGACUAACUACUGCGAAAGCAUUUGCCAAGGAUGUUUUCAUUAACCAAGAGCGAAAGUUAGGGGAUCGAAGACGAUCAGAUACCGUCGUAGUCUUAACCAUAAACUAUGCCGACUAGGAAUCAGACGAUGUUAAUUUUUUAAUGACUCGUUUGGCACCUUACGGGAAACCAAAGUGUUUGGGUUC
This 572-nucleotide ribosomal RNA is filed under the name uncultured Glomeromycotina. Its description in RNAcentral is "SSU rRNA". It matches the Rfam family "Eukaryotic small subunit ribosomal RNA", at positions 548 to 1114 of the family's 1831-position model. The record is from RNAcentral. Lineage: Eukaryota; Fungi; Glomeromycota.